This 273-nucleotide ribosomal RNA is filed under the name uncultured bacterium. RNAcentral describes it as "partial 16S ribosomal RNA". It matches the Rfam family "Bacterial small subunit ribosomal RNA", at positions 524 to 796 of the family's 1533-position model. The record is from RNAcentral.
GACGGAGGGUGCUAGCGUUGUCCGGAAUCACUGGGCGUAAAGGGCGCGCAGGCGGCCCCGCCAGUCGGGCGUGAAAGCCCGGGGCUCAACCCCGGAACGGCGCCCGAGACGGCGGGGCUGGAGACCGGGAGAGGAGGGUGGAAUAGCCAGUGUAGAGGUGAAAUUCGUAGAUAUUGGCUGGAACACCGGUGGCGAAAGCGGCUCUCUGGCCCGGGUCUGACGCUGAGGCGCGAAAGCGUGGGGAGCAAACAGGAUUAGAAACCCCCGUAGUCC